AGAGCGAACGCUGGCGGCGUGCUUAACACAUGCAAGUCGAACGCGCAGUCUUCUGUAGCAAUACAGGAGGCCGGCGCGUGGCGAACGGGUGCGUAACACGUGGAUAACCUUCCUUCAGGUGGGGAAUAACCCAGUGAAAAUUGGGCUAAUACCGCAUAACAUGACGAUGGCACAUGCCGUUGUCUUCAAAGCCGCAAGGCGCCAGAUGAGGGAUCCGCGGCCGAUUAGCUUGUUGGCGAGGUAAUGGCUCACCAAGGCAAUGAUCGGUAGCCGGACUGAGAGGUUGGCCGGCCACACUGGAACUGAGACACGGUCCAGACUCCUACGGGAGACAGCAGUGGGGAAUUUUGCGCAAUGGGGGAAACCCUGACGCAGCAACGCCGCGUGGAGGAUGAAGCCCCUUGGGGUGUAAACUCCUUUCGAUCGGGACGAUUAUGACGGUACCGGAUGAAGAAGCACCGGCUAACUCUGUGCCAGCAGCCGCGGUAAUACAGAGGGUGCAAGCGUUGUUCGGAAUUAUUGGGCGUAAAGGGUGCGUAGGCGGUGCGGUAAGUCUCUUGUGAAAUCUCCAGGCUCAACCUGGAGCCUGCAAGGGAAACUGCCGUGCUAGAGUAUGGGAGAGGUGAGUGGAAUUCCCGGUGUAGCGGUGAAAUGCGUAGAUAUCUGCAGGAACACCCGUGGCGAAGGCGGCUGGCUGGACCGCAACUGACGCUGAGGAACGAAAGCUAGGGGAGCAAACAGGAUUAGAUACCCUGGUAGUCCUAGCCCUAAACCAUCAGGACUUGGGGUGGCCCGCGUAGGCGGGUCGUCCCGUAGCUAACGCGUUAAGUCCUGCGCCUGGGGAGUACGGUCGCAAGACUGAA
This 863-nucleotide ribosomal RNA is filed under the name uncultured bacterium. RNAcentral describes it as "bacterial SSU rRNA". It matches the Rfam family "Bacterial small subunit ribosomal RNA", at positions 26 to 898 of the family's 1533-position model. The record is from RNAcentral.